AGAGGAAGUAAAAGUCGUAACAAGGUUUCCGUAGGUGAACCUGCGGAAGGAUCAUUACUGAAUUUAUGACAAGGUUGUAGCUGGCCCUAUCCGGGCAUGUGCACGCCUUGCUCAUUCCAAUUCUUACACCUCUGUGCACUUAACAUGGGCUGGUCGUAGGCUUUUGUCUUGCUUCACUGUGAGACGGGCUUUGACCUGCCUGUGGUUACUCUACAAACACUUUAAAGUAUUAGAAUGUAACAUCGCGGAUAAUAAACGCAUCUUAUACAACUUUCAGCAACGGAUCUCUUGGCUCUCGCAUCGAUGAAGAACGCAGCGAAAUGCGAUAAGUAAUGUGAAUUGCAGAAUUCAGUGAAUCAUCGAAUCUUUGAACGCACCUUGCGCUCCUUGGUAUUCCGAGGAGCAUGCCUGUUUGAGUGUCAUGGUAUUCUCAAUUCUCUAAAUCUUUGCGGAUUUGGAUGAAUUGGAUGUGGAGGUUUAUUGCUGGCGACUAUCCUUCUGGAUCUGUGUCCGGCUCCUCUGAAAUAAAGUAGCAGGAAUGUUGCCGUGCCAACCUCAGUGUGAUAAUUAUCUGCGCUGUUGUUGCUCAGCAAAAUAUAUGUUCUUGCUUCUAAUCGUCUUCGGACAAUUUCUUGACAUCUGACCUCAAAUCAGGUAGGACUACCCGCUGAACUUAAGCAUAUCAAUA
Molecule: ribosomal RNA, 688 nt
Filed under: Panus lecomtei
Lineage: Eukaryota; Fungi; Basidiomycota; Agaricomycetes; Polyporales; Panaceae
Description: eukaryotic LSU rRNA
Rfam family: 5.8S ribosomal RNA (bases 269-422)
Source: RNAcentral